This 521-nucleotide ribosomal RNA is filed under the name Nitrososphaerota archaeon. RNAcentral describes it as "partial 23S ribosomal RNA". It matches the Rfam family "Archaeal large subunit ribosomal RNA", at positions 2516 to 2987 of the family's 2987-position model. The record is from RNAcentral. Lineage: Archaea; Thermoproteati; Nitrososphaerota.
GGUGACGACAGAAAAGUUACCCCAGGGAUAACAGGCUCGUCGCGGGCGAGAGCUCUAAUCGACCCCGCGGUUUGGUACCUCGAUGUCGGCUCUUCCCAUCCUGGUCCUGCAGCAGAGGCCAAGGGUGAGGCUGCUCGCCUAUUAAAGGGGAACGUGAGCUGGGUUUAGACCGUCGCGAGACAGGUCGGUCUCUACCUGAUGGAAGCGGCGGUCAUCUGAGGGGAAGCUGUCCCUAGUACGAGAGGAACAGGGCAAGGCAGCCUCUGGUAUACCGAUCCUCCGACAGGGGGACGCCGGGUAGCUAAGCUGUUGAGGAUAACCCCUGAAAGCAUCUAAGGGGGAAGCCUUUCUUAAAAAGAGCCAGCGUUCCUUUAUGUAUUUCAAUUCGCAAGGAUUGGAACGCAUUAAGGAGUAGGGCUGCCAUAGAAGAUGGCGUUGAUAGGACGGAGGUGUACGCAGGAAGGCCCGUAAGGGCCGACUUGUUCAGCCUACCGUUACUAAUCGCCCAAAUGUUAGGUUCG